Molecule: non-coding RNA, 1492 nt
Organism: Lolium perenne
Lineage: Eukaryota; Viridiplantae; Streptophyta; Magnoliopsida; Poales; Poaceae
Source: RefSeq, a predicted model, not a curated record
GUAUACCUUAAAGGAAGGAGGCCGGGUAGCCUGACGCCCUGACCUCAACGGGAGGAGGAGGAGGGCGUGCUGCGGGAUUGAGGCCAUGGGAAGCAAGCAGACCAGAAAAACACCCCAAAACUAUUGCAAGUAAGGCUUCCAAGGUCCUACCCAUCUUAACUUGCAAUGUUGCUGGAGAAGUGGCGGUCAACUAUGAACUUGCAGUAAUGUUCCCCAAAGAUCUGUAGUUCACGAAUGCGGUGGUGCGGGACAGGGAGUAGAUGAAAGAGUAAUAAGAGGAUCACGGCGCUUGCACACCCAUUGAUGAUUUUCAGAAGGUCUUUCAUGUGCAGCUGCCAAUGAUGUGGUAUUGACGAUGGUUAUGCACACAGGUUCUAGAGGCUACUGAUCUCAGUAACAAUGUACUUGCCUCUCCAUUCCUAAGCGCUUUGUAGUUCUUUGAUUAACUCGGUAGAAUACGUACUGGGCCAUUUGUGAAUCCUUUUGGUGCUGAAGAUGAGAAGGUGCUUCUUAUGAACAACCCCGAAGAUAUUUCUCCUCCUACGUGCUCGACAGGUGAAGCAUGAACAGCUGGUACAUGAUGUCCACCCAGGUGCACGCACUCUUCUCCUCUUCCUGAUUUUUUGACUCCUUCCCGCAAGGUGUUCGAUGAAAUUCCAAGGAGGUUUGGGGAGGAUUGAUCUCUGUAAGCUAUGCGAUUUAGUUCUUCAAAAAUAUUAGUUCCAGUCAAUCAUGUCAAGAAUCCUAUAUAUUUUAGAUUUAUUUGUGCAAUUUCAUUUGUGCUACUUUUAACACAAUCUGUAAUGUUAUCAACCUCGCUGCCUAUUGUACGAAUCCCUUCUGGCCAGAUCGUCUCCUCUCACCCAGUUCUUACAUAGCAUUUUUUGUAGAGUAGUUUGAUUCACUGUUGUUUCUCACUUUACGGUGGUUGAGUUGGUGCGAGUCAAGGAAGGGCUAGGAGAGAUGAGAGCAUCCCAGUGACCGCCACCCGGCGACGCCGGUGGCCAGCACCUCGAGCCAGCUUUGACAUGGAUUGGAGCAAAGAGAAGAGUCACAGGAAGGUGAUUUGGAGGAAAGAGGUGAUCACCAUCUCAACAAAGAAAUUCUUACUCCAGGGAGCAUUUCUUACUAAAUAUCAAAAUCCUCUCAAUUCUUGUUCUUCUCAGUUCAUAGCCCGUCAGACAAAUAUGCAUGUCCAGACACACACUAUCUUCAGUUUUAGGUUUCCACAGUAAUUAUUAAGAGCCCAGACACACCCUUGCUGUGUUGCUUACAGGCUUGAGUGCGUUAAUUUGACCUUUUGGGACUGUAGGACAAAUCAACUGUACUACUAUUUUCCAGUUGCUCCUUCUUUUGGUAGGAUCUAGAGUUUUCUGAUGCCAGGUGUAUGCAUGUGUUACACAUUGAGUUCUUAAUUGUUGAAUUUGUUGGUCCUUUUUUCACUGCUUUAGCUCUUUGUUCCAUUACAGGAGAUAUCAACUCACUUUUCAUG